This is a long non-coding RNA of Ctenopharyngodon idella (grass carp), 379 nucleotides long. RefSeq lists it as uncharacterized. Lineage: Eukaryota; Metazoa; Chordata; Actinopteri; Cypriniformes; Xenocyprididae. The record is from RefSeq and is a predicted model, not a curated record. The transcript is spliced from 3 exons.
AUACAUAGCCUGUGUACGGUAAAUUCCCUAAUGAGGAAGUAUUUUCCUACCCUUCGGAGCGAUUCAAAUUUCAAGCUGGAAUGAUUUUGCUGUUUACACAGGAUGCUGUUCUGUUAAAAACCAAUAUGUACCAAACGUAAUGGUCUGGAGAUGCAUUUUCACAUGUUGAGACACUUUGAAUAAUCAAACCUGACAGUUGACAAGCCAUUUGGCGCAAAUGUCACGAGACGCCGAACUGCAACAGCGACGCCCAACAGGGAUACAUGAGACGCUUGGCAAGGCUAGAGGACUCAAAGAAGCACAAGGCUGCUGCGCAGAAGGGGACGUUUGUCGAGAAAAAAAAGAAAGAAAGUUAUACAGGAUUGAAACGGUGUGAGGG